AGGGUUGUGGCUCAGUGGUAAAGCAAUUGCCUAGCAAGCACAAGGCACUGGGUUCAAUCCCCAGCACCAAUA
Molecule: transfer RNA, 72 nt
Filed under: Urocitellus parryii (Arctic ground squirrel)
Lineage: Eukaryota; Metazoa; Chordata; Mammalia; Rodentia; Sciuridae
Also listed under: 2 other names
Description: Spermophilus parryii (Arctic ground squirrel) tRNA
Rfam family: tRNA
About the family: Transfer RNA (tRNA) molecules are approximately 80 nucleotides in length. Their secondary structure includes four short double-helical elements and three loops (D, anti-codon, and T loops). Further hydrogen bonds mediate the characteristic L-shaped molecular structure. tRNAs have two regions of fundamental functional importance: the anti-codon, which is responsible for specific mRNA codon recognition, and the 3' end, to which the tRNAs corresponding amino acid is attached (by aminoacyl-tRNA synthetases). tRNAs cope with the degeneracy of the genetic code in two manners: having more than one tRNA (with a specific anti-codon) for a particular amino acid; and 'wobble' base-pairing, i.e. permitting non-standard base-pairing at the 3rd anti-codon position.
Source: Rfam by way of RNAcentral